RNAcentral lists this ribosomal RNA (292 nucleotides) under uncultured bacterium. Its description in RNAcentral is "partial 16S ribosomal RNA". It matches the Rfam family "Bacterial small subunit ribosomal RNA", at positions 505 to 796 of the family's 1533-position model. The record is from RNAcentral.
GUGUCAGCAGCCGCGGUAAUACAGAGGGUGCAAGCGUUAAUCGGAAUUACUGGGCGUAAAGCGAGCGUAGUCGGUUAUUUAAGUCGGGUGUGAAAGCCCCGGGCUCAACCUGGGAAUUGCAUUCGAUACUGGAUAGCUAGAGUUCGGCAGAGGGAAGCGGAAUUUCCGGUGUAGCGGUGAAAUGCGUAGAUAUCGGAAGGAACAUCAGUGGCGAAAGCGGCUUCCUGGACCAGAACUGACGAUCAGGCUCGAAAGCGUGGGGAGCAAACAGGAUUAGAUACCCUGGUAGUCC